This 461-nucleotide ribosomal RNA is filed under the name uncultured cyanobacterium. RNAcentral describes it as "bacterial SSU rRNA". It matches the Rfam family "Bacterial small subunit ribosomal RNA", at positions 961 to 1423 of the family's 1533-position model. The record is from RNAcentral. Lineage: Bacteria; Bacillati; Cyanobacteriota.
GCGAAGAACCUUACCAGGGUUUGACAUCUUGCGAACCUCUGAGAAAUCGGAGGGUGCCUUCGGGAACGCAGAGACAGGUGGUGCAUGGCUGUCGUCAGCUCGUGUCGUGAGAUGUUGGGUUAAGUCCCGCAACGAGCGCAACCCACGUCUUUAGUUGCCAGCAUUCAGUUGGGCACUCUAGAGAGACCGCCGGUGAUAAACCGGAGGAAGGUGUGGAUGACGUCAAGUCAUCAUGCCCCUUACAUCCUGGGCUACACACGUACUACAAUGCUACGGACAAAGGGCAGCAAGCUCGCGAGAGUAAGCAAAUCCCAUAAACCGUGGCUCAGUUCAGAUCGUAGGCUGCAACUCGCCUACGUGAAGGAGGAAUCGCUAGUAAUCGCAGGUCAGCAUACUGCGGUGAAUACGUUCCCGGGCCUUGUACACACCGCCCGUCACACCAUGGAAGUUGGCCACGCCCG